RNAcentral lists this ribosomal RNA (523 nucleotides) under Bifidobacterium longum subsp. infantis. Its description in RNAcentral is "bacterial SSU rRNA". It matches the Rfam family "Bacterial small subunit ribosomal RNA", at positions 159 to 697 of the family's 1533-position model. The record is from RNAcentral. Lineage: Bacteria; Bacillati; Actinomycetota; Actinomycetes; Bifidobacteriales; Bifidobacteriaceae.
GGUGGUAAUGCCGGAUGCUCCAGUUGAUCGCAUGGUCUUCUGGGAAAGCUUUCGCGGUAUGGGAUGGGGUCGCGUCCUAUCAGCUUGACGGCGGGGUAACGGCCCACCGUGGCUUCGACGGGUAGCCGGCCUGAGAGGGCGACCGGCCACAUUGGGACUGAGAUACGGCCCAGACUCCUACGGGAGGCAGCAGUGGGGAAUAUUGCACAAUGGGCGCAAGCCUGAUGCAGCGACGCCGCGUGAGGGAUGGAGGCCUUCGGGUUGUAAACCUCUUUUAUCGGGGAGCAAGCGUGAGUGAGUUUACCCGUUGAAUAAGCACCGGCUAACUACGUGCCAGCAGCCGCGGUAAUACGUAGGGUGCAAGCGUUAUCCGGAAUUAUUGGGCGUAAAGGGCUCGUAGGCGGUUCGUCGCGUCCGGUGUGAAAGUCCAUCGCUUAACGGUGGAUCCGCGCCGGGUACGGGCGGGCUUGAGUGCGGUAGGGGAGACUGGAAUUCCCGGUGUAACGGUGGAAUGUGUAGAUAU